GACGAACGCUGGCGGCGUGCUUAACACAUGCAAGUCGAACGGAAAGGCCCUGCUUUUGUGGGGUGCUCGAGUGGCGAACGGGUGAGUAACACGUGAGUAACCUGCCCUUGACUUUGGGAUAACUUCAGGAAACUGGGGCUAAUACCGGAUAGGAGCUCCUGCUGCAUGGUGGGGGUUGGAAAGUUUCGGCGGUUGGGGAUGGACUCGCGGCUUAUCAGCUUGUUGGUGGGGUAGUGGCUUACCAAGGCUUUGACGGGUAGCCGGCCUGAGAGGGUGACCGGACCGCGGGGGCGGGAGCUACGCGCCAGCGGCGCGGGGGAGGGAGGAGUGUGUCAUAGAGAAGGCGCGGGGGCAGCCGGGCGCGCGGGUGCGGCGUGGGGGACGACGGGCUGCGGUGCGGCAACCGCGCUGGCCGUGGAGGGAGGGUGAGUGAGGGGGGGGGACAAGCUAGCACCGGAGAACUACGCGCCAGCAGCGGGGUGAAUAAGGGGACACGGCCCCUCCUGCUC
Molecule: ribosomal RNA, 509 nt
Filed under: uncultured bacterium
Lineage: Bacteria
Description: partial 16S ribosomal RNA
Rfam family: Bacterial small subunit ribosomal RNA (bases 20-332)
Source: RNAcentral